GAUGAACGCUGGCGGCGUGCCUAAUACAUGCAAGUCGAACGCUGGAAAUCUAGCUUGCUAGAUUGAAGGAGUGGCGAACGGGUGAGUAAUACAUAAGCAACCUACCCACGAAGACUGGGAUAAUCUCUGGAAACGGGGACUAAUACCGGAUAGGUAAUCGGAAGGCAUCUUCUGAUUAUUAAAGGUUAAAAACACUGGUGGAUGGGCUUAUGGCGCAUUAGUUAGUUGGUGAGGUAACGGCCCACCAAGACGAUGAUGCGUAGCCGGCCUGAGAGGGUGAACGGCCACAUUGGGACUGAGACACGGCCCAGACUCCUACGGGAGGCAGCAGUAGGGAAUUUUCGGCAAUGGGGGAAACCCUGACCGAGCAACACCGCGUGAGUGAUGACGGCCUUCGGGUUGUAAAGCUCUGUUGUAAGGGAAGAACGGUAGAUAGAGAAUAUCUAAAUGACGGUACCUUACCAGAAAGCCACGGCUAACUACGUG
RNAcentral lists this ribosomal RNA (486 nucleotides) under uncultured bacterium. Its description in RNAcentral is "partial 16S ribosomal RNA". It matches the Rfam family "Bacterial small subunit ribosomal RNA", at positions 28 to 507 of the family's 1533-position model. The record is from RNAcentral.